Molecule: long non-coding RNA, 488 nt
Filed under: Phaseolus vulgaris (common bean)
Lineage: Eukaryota; Viridiplantae; Streptophyta; Magnoliopsida; Fabales; Fabaceae
Description: long non-coding RNA (PVUL_LNC003839)
Source: RNAcentral
GGAAUUCAAAUACAGUGAGCCAACUUGGACCAUUUAUGUCAGUAAGUCUACAUAGUCUGUUUUACUUUUGUUUUUUGUCCAUUUGCAAUCAUCCCCCUCCCCACCCCAAACUUUUGGUAGCUUUAAUGGACCACUGGAUAUGCUAUUUUCUUCAGCCUCAAUUGUGUGUGAAGGACUGAAGAGGAAUGUGAGGCAGAAGUUAUAAUUCCAAUAAGACAAGAGUGAAGAAAUGCAAAAACAAAAGCUCUUGUUUAUGGAACUGAGUACUCUACAAUUGGAUGAUGCAGUGUGGAUUUUGCAGUUGACACGUGCCAUGUAGCUUAUGACUAGCAGGCAUUGCAAUUUUUUUUGUAGCUAUGUGUCCAACCUGGUUGCGGAUAGGAUAGGAUAAUGCCAUGCUCUUUUAAGAAUCAUAGAACAUGCAUAUAAUAACUGUUUUUUUUGGUUUUCUUCUUUUGUCUUGAGUUUUCAUUUUCACUUUAAUUUUG